GUGGGGAAUCUUGCGCAAUGGGCGAAAGCCUGACGCAGCCAUGCCGCGUGAAUGAUGAAGGUCUUAGGAUUGUAAAAUUCUUUCACCGGGGACGAUAAUGACGGUACCCGGAGAAGAAGCCCCGGCUAACUUCGUGCCAGCAGCCGCGGUAAUACGAAGGGGGCUAGCGUUGCUCGGAAUUACUGGGCGUAAAGGGCGCGUAGGUGGACAGUUUAGUCAGAGGUGAAAGCCCAGGGCUCAACCUUGGAAUUGCCUUUGAUACUGGCUGUCUUGAGUACGGGAGAGGUGAGUGGAACUCCGAGUGUAGAGGUGAAAUUCGUAGAUAUUCGGAAGAACACCAGUGGCGAAGGCGACUCACUGGCCCGUUACUGACGCUGAGGCGCGAAAGCGUGGGGAGCAAACAGGAUUAGAAACCCCUGUAGUCC
Molecule: ribosomal RNA, 425 nt
Filed under: uncultured bacterium
Lineage: Bacteria
Description: partial 16S ribosomal RNA
Rfam family: Bacterial small subunit ribosomal RNA
Source: RNAcentral